UGUGUGUGUGUGUGUGUGUUGACUUGGUUGAUGCAGAAGACACAAGAAAACAGGCGCAGGGAUAAAUCCUCAUUUGCAACCCGGAACCCACUGUUCAGUGUGAGUUUGGAUACACUUGGAGAAGUAUUUU
This is a small nucleolar RNA of Cricetulus griseus (Chinese hamster), 130 nucleotides long. Ensembl annotates it as small nucleolar RNA SNORA40. The record is from Ensembl. NCBI's taxonomy places the organism in Eukaryota, Metazoa, Chordata, Mammalia, Rodentia, Cricetidae.